RNAcentral lists this unclassified non-coding RNA (350 nucleotides) under soil metagenome. Its description in RNAcentral is "partial contains 5.8S ribosomal RNA, internal transcribed spacer 2, and large subunit ribosomal RNA". The stretch from base 1 to 120 matches the Rfam family "5.8S ribosomal RNA", at positions 35 to 154 of the family's 154-position model. The record is from RNAcentral.
GAUGAAGAACGUAGCGAACUGCGAUAAGUAAUGUGAAUUGCAGAAUUCAGUGAAUCAUCGAGUCUUUGAACGCACAUUGCGCCCCCUGGCAUUCCGGGGGGCAUGCCUGUCCGAGCGUCAUUGCUGCCCUUCAAGCCCGGCUUGUGUGUUGGGUCGUCGUCCCCCCCGGGGGACGGGCCCGAAAGGCAGCGGCGGCACCGCGUCCGGUCCUCGAGCGUAUGGGGCUUUGUCACCCGCUCGGUUAGGGCCGGCCGGGCGCCAGCCGGCGUCUCCAACCUUCUAUUUUACCAGGUUGACCUCGGAUCAGGUAGGGAUACCCGCUGAACUUAAGCAUAUCAAUAAGCGGAGGA